AGUUUGAUCCUGGCUCAGGAUGAACGCUGGCGGCGUGCCUAAUACAUGCAAGUCGGACGCAAUGCUUCGGCAUUGAGUGGCGAACGGGUGAGUAAUACAUAAGCAACCUGCCCCUGUGAGGGGGAUAACUGCUGGAAACGGCAGCUAAGACCGCAUAGGCAUACAUGACGCAUGUCGAGUAUGUUAAAUAUCCUACGGGAUAGCACAGGGAUGGGCUUAUGACGCAUUAGCUAGCUGGUGAGGUAGAGGCUCACCAGGGCGACGAUGCGUAGCCGGCCUGAGAGGGUGGACGGCCACACUGGGACUGAGACACGGCCCAGACUCCUACGGGAGGCAGCAGUAGGGAAUUUUCGGCAAUGGGCGAAAGCCUGACCGAGCAACGCCGCGUGAAGGAAGAAGUCAUUCGUGAUGUAAACUUCUGUUAUAAAGGAAGAACGGCGCCUGUAGGGAAUGACAGGCGAGUGACGGUACUUUAUGAGGAAGCCACGGCUAACUACGUGCCAGCAGCCGCGGUAAUACGUAGGUGGCGAGCGUUAUCCGGAAUCAUUGGGCGUAAAGAGGGAGCAGGCGGCAGUGCAGGUCUGCGGUGAAAGCCCGAAGCUAAACUUCGGUAAGCCGUGGAAACCGCACAGCUAGAGAGCAUCAGAGGAUCGCGGAAUUCCAUGUGUAGCGGUGAAAUGCGUAGAUAUAUGGAGGAACACCAGUGGCGAAGGCGGCGGUCUGGGGUGCAGCUGACGCUCAGUCCCGAAAGCGUGGGGAGCAAAUAGGAUUAGAUACCCUGGUAGUCC
This 788-nucleotide ribosomal RNA is filed under the name uncultured bacterium. RNAcentral's name for it is "bacterial SSU rRNA". It matches the Rfam family "Bacterial small subunit ribosomal RNA", at positions 10 to 796 of the family's 1533-position model. The record is from RNAcentral.